GGAAACUUCUCCCAGGACCGUCUCUGCUCUCAAAAGGCACUUGUUCCUAUUUCUAUCAGAGCAGUCAUCCCACAACAUGGGAUCCAGUUCCCUGUCUAGAUUGGGAGGUCCUCAAAAUCAAGGGCUUACUCAUCUUUGCAACCCGCAAGCACAGUGCUUGGCAUACUUGUUGAAUAAGCUUGCCAAAUUCGAAAGGCACGUUUCUGUUACUUAACUUCUCAGGAGCAUUUGACUCAAGAGUAUCAAAUAACCACUUCUUCCUGUUGAAACCAUGUCUUAUUUUUGAUUUUGUGACACCACGCUAUCUUGUUUUUUCUCCUACGUGUCUGUCUACUCCUUUUCAAUCUCCUUUGUAAAGUGCUCUCUGUUCUCUAGCUAAGCUCUAAUGUUGGAGUUUAGUGCUCAGUCCCUUCUCCUCAUUCUCCCUCCCUCCAUGACCUCAUCUAUUUCCAAAGCUUUAGUUCCCACCUAUAUACCAAUCAUUUCCAACAUCUCUCAACACCUCUCGAGCUCCAGACUUGUACAUCCAACUGCCUUCUGCUGUGUAUUUUCUGUUUGUCCUUCUGGAUCGACUCUCAACUCCUGUCGACCCUCCUCUCUGCCCUGAUACUUUGACCUUUGUGGGCUACAUCAGAAGACUCUCUGACUUCCAGCUGGGUUUGGCCAAUAGAAGCUUCCAGCAGAAGACUGAAAAGCACGAGGAGAGUGAGUCUUCGCUCCUUCUCCCAUGCCCACCACUGGCUACUGGUUCAGCAAGGAGUGACAGAGCCACUGUUUAAUGGGGUUCUCAAAGGAUAAAGAAACACUCAAAGCAAGGGAUCAAGCAGACCCAGCAAGACAGAAAGCAAGCCCCAUUUCAAGAAACCAAAGAUCUGGAGGUUCCUUCUGAAAAACAUCAAGUGGCUAAAAGAGAAAUGACCUGAGAAAGAGAGAAAAUGUAUCUUUGCUGGGAUUACAAUAAUUCAUACUUUCGGGAAAAGCAUGAAACCCAUGAGACAGAAUCGUGCCUCUUCAGUGAAGCAUGUAGGAAGGAGCAUGAACUCAAAGGAAACAGAUCACAGGGGGAGAAGUGAAAGGCUGAACUCGAGGCGAGGAAGACCAUUCCCAGCACUGAGCAGAGCAGCUCAUCAGAGGAAAACACCGGAAACUUGCCUGGGCGAUGCAGCCCCCACUGCAGAGGACACAUUCCUUCCACAUGAACAACAGCAACAUCGUGCUAGGGUAAAGGGGAGGAGAAAACAAGGCCAGAAUUCAUUCCAGAGAAACUUUCUCCAGUGAGUGGCAUAUUUCCUCCACGGCAAGGUGAUUUUCUCAUUGAAGAAACCAAGGCAUAGACAAAGCCAAUGAUUUUUCCAAGACCACAUAGCUGGAAGUGGGAUUUACAAUCGCCAGGUUCACGUGACUUCAAAGUGCCCUCUCAGGUGUGCUGACCUGUCCGAGAUGGCCCCCAAUCAACCCUGCCUCCUGGAUUCAUGCUCUUGUGUAGUUUUCUUCCAUAUCUUACCAAGGUGGUUCUGUUCAACCUACGGACAGGUCCACAUGGUGAGGAACUGGGGCCACCAGCCAACAACCAUGUCGUUGAGUCAUCUUAGAAGUAGUUCCUCCAUCCUCAUCAAGCCAUCCAAGUGACACAGUGCCAGCUGAUAUCUUGACUACAGCCCCAUGAGAGACACUGAGUCAUACCCAUCCACCCACUUCUGAAUUCCUGACCCACAGAAACUGAGAUGAUAAAUUGCUUUCAACCAAUAAGUUUUGGAGUAAUUUGUUACAUAGCAAUGAAUAACAUAGACAUUUCAGAUAAUGUCUUUAGUUCACAGGACUUCAGACAGAGAGGAACUCUACUUGGAGAUCUGCGCUUAAAGACUACACCUAAGGAGAUUCGCCUGCACUGGGACCUGAUUUAAAGGAUGACGUCCUGGACUCCAGAGCUGAUGCUGUAUAGGCUUGAGACUUUUGGGAGGUAUUGAGAAGGAUGACAGUAUUUUGCAAGUGGGAGGAAUAUGAUGGUUAAAGUAUGUCCACAAAGUAUUUAACAUUAUUUUCAAAAAGUAGAGUGUAAUUCCCCUCCCCUUGAGAGUGGGCUGGACUUAGUGACUCACUUCUAAUGGAUAGAAUUGAGCAGAAGUGACAGUGUGUGACUUCAGAGGCCAGGUCAUAAAAGUCACUGUGUCUUUCUGCUUGCUCUUCCUUGUGGAUGCUGAACUCUGGGGGGACGUUGUGAGCAGUCUUAUGGAGAGGCCCACAUGAAACCCAGGCCUUCUGCCAACAACCAUUUGAGUGAAUCCUUUGGCAAGUGGAUCCUCCAGCCCCAGUCAAGCCUUCAGAUGACUCCAGGCCCAGUCAGCAUCUUAACUGCAACCUCAUGAGAGAACCAGAAACCCAGUUCAGAACUACCCACCCAAGUCACUGCCAGAUUCCUAAUCCUCAGAAACUGACUGAGAAAAUAAAUGUUCGUUGUCUUAAGUUACUAAAUUUCAGGGUAAUCUGUUUGGUAGAGACAGAUAAUUAACACAUCGGUGGUGAAAAAUUACCUGAUAAUAUUUUUAUGUUUGGAUUAGAAAGAAAGUUUUAGAUAAAUCCAAGAAAAUUCUUUUCAUACUACAGUCAUGGAAACUUCGAGUCAUUUGCCAUGAUUCUUGCUCCUGUCCUUUCAGUAUGAGCCCAAAAGUUCCUGUUGUCUUUAUUAUUUAAUUUUCCCCCUACAUUUUCUCUGUUUGGUAGCUGUCAAGGAGCUACACACAUACAGAGAGAGAGAGAGCACAGAAACAUUGGAGAGAUAGAAACAAUAUUACACAAAGGUAGCCACACUGGUAUGUAUAUACCAUAUUAACAUUAUAUAUUUAUUGAUAUAUAUCUGUAUAUACCUAUAUUUUUAUAUAUACAUAUGUAUCUAUAUAUCUGUGUGCAUGUAUAUAUACACAAAUAUAUAUACAAUUGAGUGAUCAAGUACAAAAAAUAAAUCUCUAAGAAUGUAC
RNAcentral lists this long non-coding RNA (2975 nucleotides) under Equus caballus (horse). Its description in RNAcentral is "lncRNA (ENSECAG00000047319.1)". The record is from RNAcentral. Lineage: Eukaryota; Metazoa; Chordata; Mammalia; Perissodactyla; Equidae.